GACGAACGCUGGCGGCGUGCUUAACACAUGCAAGUCGAACGAUGAACCCGGAGCUUGCUCCGGCGGAUUAGUGACGAACGGGUGAGUAACACGUGAGUAACCUGCCCUUGACUCUGGGAUAACUGCUAGAAAUGGUAGCUAAUACCGGAUACGACCCUCGGCGGCAUCGCCAGGGGGUGGAAAGAAUUUCGGUCAAGGAUGGACUCGCGGCCUAUCAGCUAGUUGGUGAGGUAACGGCUCACCAAGGCGACGACGGGUAGCCGGCCUGAGAGGGUGACCGGCCACACUGGGACUGAGACACGGCCCAGACUCCUACGGGAGGCAGCAGUGGGGAAUAUUGCACAAUGGGCGAAAGCCUGAUGGAGCGACGCCGCGUGAAGGAUGAAGCUUUUCGGAGUGUAAACUUCUUUUAUGUGGGAAGAUUAUGACGGUACCACAUGAAUAAGGACCGGCUAACUACGUGCCAGCAGCCGCCGUAA
This 479-nucleotide ribosomal RNA is filed under the name uncultured bacterium. Its description in RNAcentral is "partial 16S ribosomal RNA". It matches the Rfam family "Bacterial small subunit ribosomal RNA", at positions 28 to 523 of the family's 1533-position model. The record is from RNAcentral.